GAUGAAGAACGUAGCGAAAUGCGAUAAGUAGUGUGAAUUGCAGAAUUCAGUGAAUCAUCGAAUCUUUGAACGCACAUUGCGCCCCUUGGUAUUCCAUGGGGCAUGCCUGUUCGAGCGUCAUUUGUACCUUCAAGCUCUGCUUGGUGUUGGGUGUUUGUCUCGCCUCUGCGUGUAGACUCGCCUUAAAACAAUUGGCAGCCGGCGUAUUGAUUUCGGAGCGCAGUACAUCUCGCGCUUUGCACUCAUAACGACGACGUCCAAAAGUACAUUUUUACACUCUUGACCUCGGAUCAGGUAGGGAUACCCGCUGAACUUAAGUAUAUCAAUAAGCGGAGGA
This 337-nucleotide unclassified non-coding RNA is filed under the name soil metagenome. RNAcentral's name for it is "partial contains 5.8S ribosomal RNA, internal transcribed spacer 2, and large subunit ribosomal RNA". The stretch from base 1 to 120 matches the Rfam family "5.8S ribosomal RNA", at positions 35 to 154 of the family's 154-position model. The record is from RNAcentral.